UACGGAGGAUGCGAGCGUUAUCCGGAUUUAUUGGGUUUAAAGGGUGCGUAGGCGGGUUACCAAGUCAGCGGUAAAAUCGUGGAGCUCAACUCCAUCCAGCCAUUGAAACUGAUGAUCUUGAGUGGGCGAGAAGUAUGCGGAAUGCGUGGUGUAGCGGUGAAAUGCAUAGAUAUCACGCAGAACUCCGAUUGCGAAGGCAGCAUACCGGCGCCCGACUGACGCUGAAGCACGAAAGCGUGGGUAUCGAACAGG
This 252-nucleotide ribosomal RNA is filed under the name uncultured bacterium. RNAcentral's name for it is "partial 16S ribosomal RNA". It matches the Rfam family "Bacterial small subunit ribosomal RNA", at positions 524 to 776 of the family's 1533-position model. The record is from RNAcentral.